Long non-coding RNA from Spinacia oleracea (spinach), 795 nucleotides. RefSeq lists it as uncharacterized. NCBI's taxonomy places the organism in Eukaryota, Viridiplantae, Streptophyta, Magnoliopsida, Caryophyllales, Amaranthaceae. The record is from RefSeq and is a predicted model, not a curated record. The transcript is spliced from 2 exons.
UCCGUACAUUAAUAUAGUAAUUAAUUAAGCAAUGAGGUUCCGAAUAAUAUUUUUCAACCUUUGCAUUUCUCCUUCUAUUUUUCUCUGAAUGUGUUGUUAAGUGUAGAGAGAGGUUCAAUAUGUAUUUUCCGGAAAAAUUCUUAUAAGUGACCACCAUUGAAGCUCUGACUCAUGGUUCUCGUGUCUACUUUUUUUUAAUAGGAAUUCUCGUGUCUACUUUAUUUUCCACCGGCGUCUGUCAACCUCCAAUCUAUCUGAUCUUGUUUAUAUUUUUAGAUUCUUCUUCAAUUUCCGAUUCUUAAUCCUCACUUGAUUUUAUUUGAUUUUUAUGCAGAAUUCUAGGGUUUUAUUGAGGAUCACUUGAGGCGGCUGAAAUUGAAUCAUCGAUCAUCAGCAAUUGAGGUAUGGCUCCCCAUCGUCCGCGAAACUCUACAUCUCCUCCUCAAGAGUUCUUCUCGUAUCUUAGAGGAAACCAUGUCUGGAAGAGCAUUGGUGUAAGCUUUAAGACUCCCAAAGAUGCUAUUGAAGGUCCUUUUUUUGAGUCUUUAAGUCUCCCAUAGAUGCUAUUGAAGGUCCUUUUUUGAGUCUUUAAGUCUCCCGGAGCUUUAAGACUCCCCAUCGUUAGCAAUGAAUAUUGAAUGAAGAGCAUGAGGUAUAUGUCUUUUGUUUCAGCUUCCUAAGUUCCAUAUCCCUUUUAAUAUAUUACAAAUAGAAGCUUGUUUCAUGGGCAUUCUUGUUUGUUGGUUUGGAAUAGUUUACAAGGCUGCAGUUUCUAUUUAACUAUGGUUUAAUUCA